GACGAACGCUGGCGGCGUGCUUAACACAUGCAAGUCGAACGAUGAAGCCUAGCUUGCUAGGUGGAUUAGUGGCGAACGGGUGAGUAAUACGUGAGUAACCUACCUUUAACUCUGGGAUAAGCCUGGGAAACUGGGUCUAAUACCGGAUACGACCAAUCUCCGCAUGGGGUGUUGGUGGAAAGCGUUAUGUAGUGGUUAUAGAUGGGCUCACGGCCUAUCAGCUUGUUGGUGAGGUAACGGCUCACCAAGGCGACGACGGGUAGCCGGCCUGAGAGGGUGACCGGCCACACUGGGACUGAGACACGGCCCAGACUCCUACGGGAUGCAGCAGUGGGGAAUAUUGCACAAUGGGCGCAAGCCUGAUGCAGCGACGCCGCGUGAGGGAUGACGGCCUUCGGGUUGUAAACCUCUGUUAGCAGGGAAGAAGAGAGAUUGACGGUACCUGCAGAGAAAGCGCCGGCUAACUACGUGCCAGCAGCCGCGGUAAUACGUAGGGCGAGAGCGUUGUCCGGAAUUAUUGGGCGUAAAGAGCUUGUAGGCGGUUUGUCGCGUCUGCUGUGAAGGCCGGGGCUUAACUCCGUGUAUUGCAGUGGGUACGGGCAGACUAGAGUGCAGUAGGGGAGACUGGAAUUCCUGGUGUAGCGGUGGAAUGCGCAGAUAUCAGGAGGAACACCGAUGGCGAAGGCAGGUCUCUGGGCUGUAACUGACGCUGAGAAGCGAAAGCAUGGGGAGCGAACAGGAUUAGAUACCCUGGUAGUCCAUGCCGUAAACGUUGGGCACUAGGUGUGGGGGACAUUCCACGUUUUCCGCGCCGUAGCUAACGCAUUAAGUGCCCCGCCUGGGGAGUACGGCCGCAAGGCUAAAACUCAAAGAAAUUGACGGGGGCCCGCACAAGCGGCGGAGCAUGCGGAUUAAUUCGAUGCAACGCGAAGAACCUUACCAAGGCUUGACAUAUACUGGACCGCAUCAGAGAUGGUGUUUCCCUUCGGGGCUGGUAUACAGGUGGUGCAUGGUUGUCGUCAGCUCGUGUCGUGAGAUGUUGGGUUAAGUCCCGCAACGAGCGCAACCCUCGUUCUAUGUUGCCAGCACGUUAUGGUGGGGACUCAUAGGAGACUGCCGGGGUCAACUCGGAGGAAGGUGGGGAUGACGUCAAAUCAUCAUGCCCCUUAUGUCUUGGGCUUCACGCAUGCUACAAUGGCCGGUACAGAGGGUUGCGAUACUGUGAGGUGGAGCUAAUCCCUAAAAGCCGGUCUCAGUUCGGAUUGGGGUCUGCAACUCGACCCCAUGAAGUCGGAGUCGCUAGUAAUCGCAGAUCAGCAACGCUGCGGUGAAUACGUUCCCGGGCCU
RNAcentral lists this ribosomal RNA (1347 nucleotides) under uncultured bacterium. Its description in RNAcentral is "bacterial SSU rRNA". It matches the Rfam family "Bacterial small subunit ribosomal RNA", at positions 28 to 1381 of the family's 1533-position model. The record is from RNAcentral.